This 306-nucleotide signal recognition particle RNA is filed under the name Amphimedon queenslandica. RNAcentral's name for it is "Metazoan signal recognition particle RNA". It matches the Rfam family "Metazoan signal recognition particle RNA". Rfam says of the family: The signal recognition particle (SRP) is a universally conserved ribonucleoprotein. It is involved in the co-translational targeting of proteins to membranes. The record is from Rfam by way of RNAcentral. Lineage: Eukaryota; Metazoa; Porifera; Demospongiae; Haplosclerida; Niphatidae.
GCUGGGUGCAGUGGCGUGUGCCUGUAACUGUAGCUACCUGCAGGGCUGAGGUCUGUAGAUGGUUUGAGGUUGGGACUCCUGGGGGGUGCUGCUCUAUGUUGAGCAUGCUAGCAGAUGCCCGCACUGGGUUUGGCAUCAAUAUGGGUAUUGCGGAGGAGUCCGGUGAUGUCCAGGUUGUAUAAUGAGAACCGUAUCGGCCCAGGCCCUAGCGGGAGCAGGCAAAAGGCUCCGUACUGAGUGGUAGUGGGAUAACGUCUGUGAAUUCAUUCACCAGCCUGGCCAAUAAUUAAUCAGACCAAACUUUUU